CAAGAUGGGGGAUAACAGUUUGGAAACGAUUGCUAAUACCGAAUGUGAUCUACGGAUUAAAGAGCCUUUAAAGCUUCGCUUGAAGAUGGGCCUGCGGUGCCAUUAGCUAGUUGGUGAGGUAACGGCCCACCAAGGCGACGAUGCAUAGCCGAACUGAGAGGUUAAUCGGCCACAUUGGGACUGAGACACGGGCCCAAACUCCUACGGGAGACAGCAGUUUAGGAAUAUUCGUCAAUGGGGGAAACCCCUGAACGAGCAAUGCCGCGUGAGUGAUGACGGUCCUCUGGAUUGUAAAACUCUGUUGUUUGGAAAGAACUGUAAGAAGAGGAAAUGCUUCUUACUUGACGGUACCAUUCAAGAAAGCCACGGCUAACUACGUG
RNAcentral lists this ribosomal RNA (380 nucleotides) under uncultured bacterium. RNAcentral's name for it is "bacterial SSU rRNA". It matches the Rfam family "Bacterial small subunit ribosomal RNA", at positions 133 to 507 of the family's 1533-position model. The record is from RNAcentral.